Molecule: ribosomal RNA, 1463 nt
Filed under: uncultured Klebsiella sp.
Lineage: Bacteria; Pseudomonadati; Pseudomonadota; Gammaproteobacteria; Enterobacterales; Enterobacteriaceae
Description: bacterial SSU rRNA
Rfam family: Bacterial small subunit ribosomal RNA
Source: RNAcentral
AUUGAACGCUGGCGGCAGGCCUAACACAUGCAAGUCGAGCGGUAGCACAGAGAGCUUGCUCUCGGGUGACGAGCGGCGGACGGGUGAGUAAUGUCUGGGAAACUGCCUGAUGGAGGGGGAUAACUACUGGAAACGGUAGCUAAUACCGCAUAACGUCGCAAGACCAAAGUGGGGGACCUUCGGGCCUCAUGCCAUCAGAUGUGCCCAGAUGGGAUUAGCUAGUAGGUGGGGUAACGGCUCACCUAGGCGACGAUCCCUAGCUGGUCUGAGAGGAUGACCAGCCACACUGGAACUGAGACACGGUCCAGACUCCUACGGGAGGCAGCAGUGGGGAAUAUUGUACAAUGGGCGCAAGCCUGAUGCAGCCAUGCCGCGUGUGUGAAGAAGGCCUUCGGGUUGUAAAGCACUUUCAGCGGGGAGGAAGGCGGUGAGGUUAAUAACCUCAUCGAUUGACGUUACCCGCAGAAGAAGCACCGGCUAACUCCGUGCCAGCAGCCGCGGUAAUACGGAGGGUGCAAGCGUUAAUCGGAAUUACUGGGCGUAAAGCGCACGCAGGCGGUCUGUCAAGUCGGAUGUGAAAUCCCCGGGCUCAACCUGGGAACUGCAUUCGAAACUGGCAGGCUAGAGUCUUGUAGAGGGGGGUAGAAUUCCAGGUGUAGCGGUGAAAUGCGUAGAGAUCUGGAGGAAUACCGGUGGCGAAGGCGGCCCCCUGGACAAAGACUGACGCUCAGGUGCGAAAGCGUGGGGAGCAAACAGGAUUAGAUACCCUGGUAGUCCACGCCGUAAACGAUGUCGAUUUGGAGGUUGUGCCCUUGAGGCGUGGCUUCCGGAGCUAACGCGUUAAAUCGACCGCCUGGGGAGUACGGCCGCAAGGUUAAAACUCAAAUGAAUUGACGGGGGCCCGCACAAGCGGUGGAGCAUGUGGUUUAAUUCGAUGCAACGCGAAGAACCUUACCUGGUCUUGACAUCCACAGAACUUUCCAGAGAUGGAUUGGUGCCUUCGGGAACUGUGAGACAGGUGCUGUAUGGCUGUCGUCAGCUCGUGUUGUGAAAUGUUGGGUUAAGUCCCGCAACGAGCGCAACCCUUAUCCUUUGUUGCCAGCGGUUAGGCCGGGAACUCAAAGGAGACUGCCAGUGAUAAACUGGAGGAAGGUGGGGAUGACGUCAAGUCAUCAUGGCCCUUACGACCAGGGCUACACACGUGCUACAAUGGCAUAUACAAAGAGAAGCGACCUCGCGAGAGCAAGCGGACCUCAUAAAGUAUGUCGUAGUCCGGAUUGGAGUCUGCAACUCGACUCCAUGAAGUCGGAAUCGCUAGUAAUCGUAGAUCAGAAUGCUACGGUGAAUACGUUCCCGGGCCUUGUACACACCGCCCGUCACACCAUGGGAGUGGGUUGCAAAAGAAGUAGGUAGCUUAACCUUCGGGAGGGCGCUUACCACUUUGUGAUUCAUGACUGGGGUGA